Molecule: ribosomal RNA, 339 nt
Filed under: uncultured prokaryote
Description: partial 16S ribosomal RNA
Source: RNAcentral
CCCUAUGGUUGACAGCUGCGGAUGACCGACCACCAUCUCACUUGGAGCCGGACAAUGGAAAUUGUACGCGUAUGCGUCAACGAUAUGAUGCAGACCGAUUAUGUUUAUUUCUUGACGGAACCCAUGGGGGCAAACUUCCGUCCAGACUUCAGGCCCGAAUUGACCCCGAAGGAGAUGCUUGAACUAGGUGUGUUCGGUGGGAAAUAUAUGACUGACUGCACAGACGAAUUCCCGCAAGAUUGGUUUGCGGAUGCUAAACUCUGUCAUGUACGCCAUGUUCCCGAGUUGAACUACUUCGGCGUUAACGCGUCCAAGCCUUUGUCGUAUUGGCGGGGGAGC